GUGGGGAAUAUUGGACAAUGGGCGAAAGCCUGAUCCAGCCAUGCCGCGUGUGUGAAGAAGGUCUUCGGAUUGUAAAGCACUUUAAGUUGGGAGGAAGGGCAGUAAGUUAAUACCUUGCUGUUUUGACGUUACCGACAGAAUAAGCACCGGCUAACUUCGUGCCAGCAGCCGCGGUAAUACGAAAGGUGCAAGCGUUAAUCGGAAUUACUGGGCGUAAAUCGCGCGUAGGUGGUUUUGUAAGUUGGAGGUGAAAUCCCCGGGCUCAACCUGGGAACGGCCUCCAAAACUGCAUGACUAGAGUACGGUAGAGGGUAGUGGAAUUUCCUGUGUAGCGGUGAAAUGCGUAGAUAUAGGAAGGAACACCAGUGGCGAAGGCGACUACCUGGACUGAUACUGACACUGAGGUGCGAAAGCGUGGGGAGCAAACAGGAUUAGAUACCCUUGUAGUCC
This 450-nucleotide ribosomal RNA is filed under the name uncultured bacterium. Its description in RNAcentral is "partial 16S ribosomal RNA". It matches the Rfam family "Bacterial small subunit ribosomal RNA", at positions 354 to 796 of the family's 1533-position model. The record is from RNAcentral.